UGAACGCGAAGAACCUUACCAAGGCUUGACAUACACGAGAACACCCUAGAAAUAGGGGACUCUUUGGACACUCGUGAACAGGUGGUGCAUGGUUGUCGUCAGCUCGUGUCGUGAGAUGUUGGGUUAAGUCCCGCAACGAGCGCAACCCUCGUUCUAUGUUGCCAGCACGUAAUGGUGGGAACUCAUGGGAUACUGCCGGGGUCAACUCGGAGGAAGGUGGGGAUGACGUCAAAUCAUCAUGCCCCUUAUGUCUUGGGCUUCACGCAUGCUACAAUGGCCGGUACAAAGGGCUGCAAUACCGUGAGGUGGAGCGAAUCCCAAAAAGCCGGUCCCAGUUCGGAUUGAGGUCUGCAACUCGACCUCAUGAAGUCGGAGUCGCUGAGUAAUCGCAGAUCAGCAACGCUGCGGUGAAUACGUUCCCGGGUCUUGUACACACGCAAAAA
This 443-nucleotide ribosomal RNA is filed under the name bacterium CPTAC131. RNAcentral describes it as "bacterial SSU rRNA". It matches the Rfam family "Bacterial small subunit ribosomal RNA", at positions 956 to 1387 of the family's 1533-position model. The record is from RNAcentral.